This 477-nucleotide ribosomal RNA is filed under the name uncultured bacterium. Its description in RNAcentral is "partial 16S ribosomal RNA". It matches the Rfam family "Bacterial small subunit ribosomal RNA", at positions 28 to 506 of the family's 1533-position model. The record is from RNAcentral.
GAUGAACGCUGGCGGCGUGCUUAACACAUGCAAGUCGAACGGGAAUUAUUUUAUUGAAACUUCGGUCGAUUUAAUUUAAUUCUAGUGGCGGACGGGUGAGUAACGCGUGGGUAACCUGCCUUAUACAGGGGGAUAACAGUCAGAAAUGGCUGCUAAUACCGCAUAAGCGCACAGAGCUGCAUGGCUCAGUGUGAAAAACUCCGGUGGUAUAAGAUGGACCGGCGUUGGAUUAGCUGGUUGGUGGGGUAACGGCCCACCAAGGCGACGAUCCAUAGCCGGCCUGAGAGGGUGAACGGCAACAUUGGGACUGAGACACGGCCCAGACUCCUACGGGAGGCAGCAGUGGGGAAUAUUGCACAAUGGGGGAAACCCUGAUGCCGCGACGCCGCGUGAAGGAAGAAGUAUCUCGGUAUGUAAACUUCUAUCAGCAGGGAAGAUAGUGACGGUACCUGACUAAGAAGCCCCGGCUAACUACGU